Molecule: ribosomal RNA, 253 nt
Filed under: uncultured bacterium
Lineage: Bacteria
Description: partial 16S ribosomal RNA
Rfam family: Bacterial small subunit ribosomal RNA
Source: RNAcentral
UACAGAGGUGGCAAGCGUUGUUCGGAAUUACUGGGCGUAAAGAGCUCGUAGGCGGCCGGCCAAGUCGGAUGUGAAAUCCCUCGGCUCAACCGAGGAACUGCACUCGAUACUGGUUGGCUAGAGUCCGGGAGGGGAUGGUGGAAUUCCCAGUGUAGCGGUGAAAUGCGUAGAUAUCUGGAGGAACACCGGUGGCGAAGGCGGCAUCCUGGACCGGCAUUGACGCUGAGGCGCGAAAGCCAGGGGAGCAAACGGG